Molecule: small nuclear RNA, 162 nt
Filed under: Camelus dromedarius (Arabian camel)
Lineage: Eukaryota; Metazoa; Chordata; Mammalia; Artiodactyla; Camelidae
Description: U1 spliceosomal RNA (ENSCDRG00005014444.1)
Rfam family: U1 spliceosomal RNA
About the family: U1 is a small nuclear RNA (snRNA) component of the spliceosome (involved in pre-mRNA splicing). Its 5' end forms complementary base pairs with the 5' splice junction, thus defining the 5' donor site of an intron. There are significant differences in sequence and secondary structure between metazoan and yeast U1 snRNAs, the latter being much longer (568 nucleotides as compared to 164 nucleotides in human).
Source: RNAcentral
UUACUUACCUGGCAGGGGAGAUAGAGAUCAUGAAGGUGGUUUUCCCGGGUAAGGGGCAUCCCAUUGCACUCUGGACUGUGUUACCCCUGACGAUUCCCCAAUGUGAGAAACAAUGACUGCAAUAAUUUGUGGUGAGUGUGGGAAACUGUGGUGAGCUUCACA